GACGGAGGAUGCAAGCGUUAUCCGGAAUUAUUGGGCGUAAAGGGUGCGUAGGUGGUCAGACAAGUCCCAUGUCAAAGCAUGGUGCUUAACGCCAUAAAGGCGUGGGAAACUGUCAGACUAGAGUACAGCAGGGGCGGGAGGAAUUCCCGGUGUAGCGGUGAAAUGCGUAGAUAUCGGGAAGAACACCAGUGGCGCAAGCGUUCUGCUGGGCUGUAACUGACACUGAGGCACGAAAGCUAGGGGAGCGAAAGGG
Molecule: ribosomal RNA, 253 nt
Filed under: uncultured bacterium
Lineage: Bacteria
Description: partial 16S ribosomal RNA
Rfam family: Bacterial small subunit ribosomal RNA
Source: RNAcentral